UGUUGUUCUCUUCUCUAAAUGUCCACAACAGCCAGGACUGGGUCAGGCCAAAGAUUAGAGCAGGGAACUAUUCUAUUAGGGUGACAGGAACUGAAGUACUUGGGACAUCAUUCUUUGCCUCCAAGCUAGAAGUUGGGUUGGAAUUGGAGAUGGAACCUAGGCACUCCAAUGUGGGAUGCAGGUGCCCCAAACAGCAACUUACCCAUUGUGCCAGAAAGCCAGCCCCCAAAACUUGCAUUUUUGCAGGAACAUAUUAAUUUAUACUUAUUUUUACUUUUUCUAAUAUUUGAAAGUAAGAAAAAUACAUCAUUUAUAUCACUUCAAUAGAUUAUUACCUACAGAAAUUUUUAUGGUCUUAUACAAAUUCCUUUACACAUUAUUAUUUCAUUUAAUAUUCACAAAAACUUUGAGGAAGAUGGGCUUAUCCUCAGUCAUUAAAUAGAAGCUUUUAACCCAGUCCUGUAGAUGCCUUUAAUUUAUUUGCUUUUCCCCUUUAGGUACAAAGCACUCUGUUCAGGGAUGUGACUUAACAGUUGACAGCAUUGCAACAACUACAAAUGCCUACAAGACGGUAGUCCACCAAAUUCACAGAGACAGUCACAGCUGAUGGUUUUACAAUGUGUGAAAAGAAAGAAAAGGUCCUGAGCAAACUGCAUAAUGUCCUUCAGUUUCAUGUAUGCUAUUGUUCACCUGGAUGCUGGGAGUACAGCUUUAACUUGGAGAGAUAUAGCCACCCUGUUAUUCUGUUAAUAUUCUCUACUCCACCUGUUCUUGCCGAUGGUAAGGACAACAGCAUACUCUUCUCCCCUUUCUUGCACCCCAAAGUAAAUGCUAAUUAAUAAAACUGUUUAGUUUCCCAAACAUCUGAAAGGUAUGAAAAGACAGAGAAUUGGAACACUGCCUUUCUUCUUCUCAACUCAGUGAUCUGCAAACUUUUGGAGAUGAUUGUAAUAAAUUUUUGUGGCAUAACCUGUCA
This 976-nucleotide long non-coding RNA is filed under the name Oryctolagus cuniculus (rabbit). RNAcentral's name for it is "lncRNA (ENSOCUG00000034441.1)". The record is from RNAcentral. Lineage: Eukaryota; Metazoa; Chordata; Mammalia; Lagomorpha; Leporidae.